ACUCCUCAAAUUGCCAUUCUUAUUCAAUGCAUGUGUUAGUCUGCUACUGUUAGAGUUGUUUGAAUAGCUGUUAAUGCCGUUUCAAUGUUGGCACGUCAAACCAACAAAGAAUUACUACAAUUUCCCUAGCAAUAGUUUUCAUAAGGAUGCUUAUGUCUUAAAAGUUAUUUGUUCUGAUAAUACUCCAUUGCACAUUACUCAUCUAUAUGCUGGGUUUUUGUAGGAAAGCACCAUUCUUAAGAUAUCCUAGCCUUUCAGAACAGAUAAAUUUUAAGAUAAAAUAAUUAAAAAAAAAUCAAUUAGGAAUAUCUCGGGGGAAAAUUACUCCAAUCUUAUCUAGUUGCAGCAGAGGAUUCGAGGGCUAUUCAAAUGAAAUAAUUUCGAACAAGAUAAUGAGUAAAAUGAGCAAGUCAAUUAUCACAAGAAUAUCUGCUAAUCCCUAUUAUUGAAGUGAAACACUAUGAUUUAAGCCACAAUUAUUUUCAAAAAUGACAUUACGAAUUAAUAUAUUAUCCCAUUUCACAAUCACCAAAAAGAUUGUUCUUUGCUUUCCCCUUUUGGUUGGUUUUUCCCUAAGUUUUAGGCUUUCUCCUGCCGGAUUUGGGCUAGGGGAAGGCUUCCUUUUCCCAUUCUGAAGAGUGAGUCUCUCCCUCUACAUCUCUGCGCGGGGCUGUAAUUACUUUUAAUUGCUUGUUUUGCAGGCGGAUAUUCACUGAGAGGGAUGCAUGUACUUGGUUCUACUCCUACCUUACAUCCUUUCUUUGGCCAAAGGGUGAAAAUGUUGUGGUGGGUGUUCUAAUUGUCUGGGUUCUUUCAAUCUAGUCUUCGGGUUUGGGUUUGAUAUCUUCAGGAGACGCUACCGAUAUACAUUUGAUACAUCAAGUCCCUUAAAAGUUGAGAGGACCUACGGAGCUCUGCCAAACGCCCGACUGAUCUGGUUUUGGCCCUAUCUUGACUUGAGGUGAUUUGUUUUGUGAUGGAGGAAGUCUUGCUUUUGUGCUUCAAUAGUUGUUUUUUCUUGUUUGAAAAAAGCCUCCUAGUUUGUGCUGGUUUGUGAACUGUGUUGCUCUUCACCUUAGGCAGCCACUGGUUUGCCAAUGCUUGAUGCUUGCCAUGCGGGCUGUUUUGCAAGAGUCAGGUCCUCGAGUCUUAGGGUUCCCUUGUAUUUAGUUUAGGGUUUAAUCUUUAUUGGACCGGGUGGUUUGAUUUUAAUAGGGCCUUCAUUUAUUAACUCAAUUGUAUUAUGCUGUAUAUCUUGGAUUUCAAAGCUUUCUUUUAAUGAAAUCGCCUAUCUUAGGUUAAAAAUUAUAGGAAUAUGUGUGUGCUUAUGAAGAGGAAA
RNAcentral lists this unclassified non-coding RNA (1339 nucleotides) under Hevea brasiliensis (rubber tree). Lineage: Eukaryota; Viridiplantae; Streptophyta; Magnoliopsida; Malpighiales; Euphorbiaceae. The record is from RNAcentral.